Molecule: long non-coding RNA, 258 nt
Filed under: Vigna radiata
Lineage: Eukaryota; Viridiplantae; Streptophyta; Magnoliopsida; Fabales; Fabaceae
Description: long non-coding RNA (VRAD_LNC008926)
Source: RNAcentral
UCACACAAUGCAUCACUAUUAUUAUUAUCAAUAGGUUGAGACGUCUCACUAACCUUUAAGGGAAACACAUGUUCAAAAAACUCAGCAUCUUUCGUCUCCAUUAUAGAAUUACUCUCAAAUAUAUCACUUUUAAGAACCAAAAACCUAUAAUAGCACUAUAUUCAACAUAGCCUAAGAACAUGCAAUCAGAGGUUUUAGAGCCUAUUUUCCUUUUCUUAGGAUCAAGUAACAUUAUCUUAGCUAGACACUCCACACUCU